AACAUUUCCUGAAAGUUUUAUCUGGUGUAGCGAAAGAGAGAGAGCCAGACAAGAGGUGUGCAUCACCACAAAUGUCAUGACCAGUAAAACGACGCCGGGUGGGGUUUCCGUCAGCUUAUAUUUCUAACACAACAUUUCUAGCCCUUACCUUAGUUAUCUGUGUAUCCUGAAGGUAAAACUUCAAACUUAAAUCAAGAACAAGAACAUCCUUAUAUGCCGGGCACCUGUCGCAAAACUCGUUUAUUAUUGUUGAAUUUGAGCGAGAACGAAAAACGUGGGCAGCUGGUUGUCUAUCGGGGAAGAACCUGUUUUCUUCGGUGAUGUGUCAAGUCCUGACCAGACAUUAAAACCAUGUGACACAUGUCGAGUGGGAAAAGACUGUCAGGUUUCUGUGUUAGACCGGGGUCAGACUUGCUGCCACGUGAACUUUAAAGACUUCUAUGAUGAAAAGGGGUCUGGAACAUGUUUAUUUCAAUAUAUGAUGCGCUAGGUAAAUUAUUUUUUAUUAUUAUUUUUCUUAGAUUAAGCUUUGUGAUAGCUGUAGGAUUGUGACAGCAUCAGUCGAUGUAUUACACGAUAUCUGCUCCAGGCAUUCAUUGUAAAACAUUACUUCCAUUAGUAUACCCUUUCCCAUAAUGCUAGCCCUGUUUCACAUCCUUUUGGAAUAUCGUGUUACUCUCAUUCUUGUCAUUUUGUUCCUCUUUGUGCAUUCUAUAUUUGUUUUAUUCUUCGUUUAGUACGGUUGUUUAUUCUUUUACAAAGUUACUUCUCGCUAACUCAGUCUCAAAGCUUUACUGCCAGACCAAGCAGGACCAGUUCCCGUGCCGGGAGAACAGGUGCGAGCAGAUUUGUACCGGACAGUCUGGGUACUACGUCACCCGCGGUUGCUGUCCGUCUCGCGCGACCAAGCGUGGGGUGGAAGGGGAUGCGGGGUGGAGGGAACAAGCACUGUCAGCGGUACACACUGCCCUAAACAAACGCUCCGGCUACACUAGACUUGCCAUUUUUUUAUUUUUUUAAGAAAGAAAUUUACUUUAACUUCCAUGUAUUUAACUCUACAUGUAUAUUUAAUUGACACUGUUGCAUUCUUUUCGUUAUCUUGUACAUGACUGUAGUAUACAUGUGCAAGUGAGUGAAACUAAUUUCAAAAGUAUAGAUUGUGCUGUUAUAUUGAAGCUGUGGCAAUAUAGUGUAGUUAAUUUUUAAAAUUAGUUUAUUCCUUGUUACUCCUCGAGGUGCAUAGGGCCGCAACAACACCUCGCCAACGGACCCCGGUAUAGGGCAGCCCCCAUCAGCUGGGCCAUGUGGUUCCGAUGUCCUUUACCUCGCUCUCUGCUGCUCUUUUUCAAGUUUGCUUUGGUCUCCCGACUCUCCUCUUCCCCUGAGGGUUCCAGUCAAGUGCCUGCCAGGCAAUGGUGUCAGCUGGUUUGUACAGGGUGUGUCCUAUCCACCCUCAUUUGCGCUUUUUGAUGUCUUGACUAAUGGCAUUCUGGUUGGUUCUUUUCCAUUUAAAACUAAUAUUCAAAGAUUAUUAUUAACUAACAACGCUUUAACACACAACACACUUCAUAGGUCAAUUAGUCAUUGUGGGCUGAACCUCUAAUCAAGCUCAUUUUUAAAGGAAGUGAAAAUUGGGGAUACUGAGGAGGCAUGACAUGUUGGCGUUUUGCACCAAUUUAUGAACACUGAAGGCAAGUCUCGAGAAAAAUACACACUGCAUCCCUGUACAAUGUACAAAUGCGUCAAGGAUGAUUACCAGCAAAUAUCUGGUUUUAUUUAGAUUCAUAAAUAUUGUAAUACAGAUGUUAUAUUGAAAAUUUUAAUGCAUGUACACAAAUUAAGGUAGAAAUUUUACAAAACAAUAACCCUAUAAACAAAUUGUUACUUAGACAUAAAUACUGAAUUAUAUAUAAAUGAUUACUAAAAAUUAUGCAUUUCUUUGCAUCGCUACAUUAUUAUUCUUCUGCAGUUAGCCUAUGGCACAAGGGAUUCAAGACACUGCUAGGAUUUUUGUGCUUCAGAUGUGAAAGGAAGACGUACUUGUUCAUGGGUGUUGUGUAAGAUAAAGAAUAUGGUUUUACUCUAGAUUUUUUAUUUGGCAAAAGAGGAUGACAGGUCACAUGACCUUGUGUAAAGUUUGUAUUGGAGGGUAUUAUGAGCAGUUUUUUUAGAUAAAAGAAAUGCACAAGUUCAGAUACAUUUUUCAGAAUACUCUAAGUGUAUAUACUUUUUUGGAUGGCUUGCUUGGCUGAUGGAUGUACUCUUAAGUGACUGUUACCUUAUGUGCCUGUGGUCUGAUUUAUAUUUUUAAAUAUUGUAAUUUAUGUUAUAGAUCUAUCCAACAAAAUAAAAUAAAAACUGUCAGUAGCUGACACUACCACAUCAACCAGUGUAGUCAAACCUAAUCACUUUAUAUCUUUUGAUAUACUUUCUUAUUUGUCACUGACUGAUGUUUUUUGACAAGUUGUUGCAGCACAAGUAUAUGAGAAGUAUAUCAGGGAAAUCAGCCACCAAUGGAUGAAGAUGUACACCCUGAAGGCAUGUAUUGAGUAAAAUACACAUUGUAUUUCUUCGUUUUGUUUGUCACUGUCCUAGAAAAAAUCCCCCAGUCAGAACUCAUACCAAAUAGAAAAAAAACCCAACAAAAACAAACUUUAUAAUAGUUUAAUUUUAGAAAAUGGCAUAUAGAGAAAAUGAACCAUUUUUAAACAUUUCAUACGAAUACAAAAGAACAAGCAUUAAAAGACAUCACUCAACUUUCUUGACAGUAUACAUUUACAUGAAGAGUCUAACAGUACACCAUAUUUCAGAGUACAGUAUUUGUAAUUAAGUGAAAUAAAGAAGCGGUAAAAAAUGUUAUCUGCUACACAUCUUUAAAUAUUGUACUUACAGUUUGGCAUCAUACCAUGAAUUAAAAAAAAAAAA
Molecule: long non-coding RNA, 2925 nt
Filed under: Pomacea canaliculata
Lineage: Eukaryota; Metazoa; Mollusca; Gastropoda; Architaenioglossa; Ampullariidae
Description: uncharacterized LOC112564965
Source: RNAcentral